Halichondria panicea is the source of this 2854-nucleotide long non-coding RNA. RefSeq lists it as uncharacterized. The transcript has 4 exons. The record is from RefSeq and is a predicted model, not a curated record. Lineage: Eukaryota; Metazoa; Porifera; Demospongiae; Suberitida; Halichondriidae.
UGUCACGCAUGUCAUGGUAGAGCACAUGUCAUGAUAGAGCACAUGUCAUUUGCAGCCACUAGACAAAGAGAGAGCAAGACGAGGUUUACCCUGCCGGCUGUCUCCUUGUACGUCAGUCACCGUACGUCAGUCACCUUUUGAUAACUACUCAACGCUGCACAGCACAGGAUUCAGCAUUCAAUCACUCUCAUAAUUUUAUUGUCAUUUCAUCUUUUAUGGGGGACGCCCCACUCUUAAUUUUUAUCACUGAAUGGCUGCUGACGUACGUAUAUAUAAGAGCACUACAAGAUACGACAGGAAAGGGUCAGUAUAAUAAUUAUCCUUCCAGGCCGCAACAUAGAAUGCUGGCUUUCUGAUCGAGGAGGAGAUGAUCUGUUAUUGGCCGGGGAUGGAGUGGAUCUACCUCUGAGGCAGUGUAUGUGAUUUUCUGACACUCUAAACAGAGGGAGUCGGCCACACAAGGUAUAGUCUAAUAAUUAUUGUACAGUACUAGAUGAUCUUCUCUGUUUUGGGUCAGAUGCAAUUGCCUUGAAUCACUAGAACAUUUCUUCUACUCUUGGCUUAAGAAAUUGUAUUUUAUUAUUGUACCAGCAUUAGGUAGUUUACUCCACUUAUGCAUUGACCUCUACUACCGUGUAGUGGGAAAUUUUGUUAUUUGAGCCCUCGAAAAAUGUUGUAUAGUUGUUCACAUUUCAAUGCCAGGAAACCAAUAGCUUUGCAUGGUGCGUGGGAGUGUCUUCCAUUUAUAUUACAUGAAGUGUGAAGUGUGUUGUAAGUUUGUACAGAGAGGACUCCCAUGGUGGCAAUGAUCUGAUGAUGGCUCCACUGCUCUGGUGGACCAAUGCAGGAGAAGUUAUUCUGUAUAAUUAUCACACUAAAUUAAUGUAUGCCACUGUUUGGAUCGGUUUCUGUUCUGCUCAGCUUCUUCCUCCAACUUGCUUACGCAGGCUAAGCUUAUUCUUAAUUAGUUCAUUCUUAGUUCAUUCUAUAGUCUAGUAUUAUUGUCGGUUUGGUUGUUUUAUGUUUUUCACCUGGUCAUACGGAAUCACUUCAUUAAUUUUUAUACAGUGCAGACCGCACCUCUAUCCACACAUUGUAUCUGCACAUCCUGUAUAUAUGGGGCCACACCCCCACUCACUGUACUCAUAUGUGGUCACACCCCCAUACAUGGUAACCCUCUUGACCACACCCCCAUCCCAUGCAUUGUGUCGUACAUGCUGUGUUUUUGUGUACAGUACACACAUCAUCCGUGUCUUUAUCCCCACACCUAGUCGGAGGGACAGCAAGUUCUACUAAGAGCCAGCAUCACCAACUAACCAACACACUACAAGACCUACCUACUACCAGCUAGGACAGCACACCACCCGGGACAGACUCUACUAUACCAUGUAAUACGCCUUUGUAUUACGAUCAUGAUACAAUUUGCUGCCCUCCCUCGCCCAUGGAUUGAAUGAUUAUGGACACUCGCAGGACAACUAAGAGACUGACACACAAUAAUAGACACCAAAGGGCCAGUUACUGUAUCAUGUACGAAUAUUCUGUUGCUUGUACAUUUCGUAACAUUAUCAGUAAUUGACUAUAGAGUAGCAUCUUGAGCUCCCCUUUCUUCAUCAUUCAAUCUGCAGGCAGUGUAUGUGAUUUUCUGACAGGAGGGAGUCGGCCACACAAGGUAUAGUCUAAUAAUUAUGUCUAAUAAUUAUGGUACGGUACUUAGAUGAUCUUCUCUGUUUUGGGUCAGAUACAAUUGCCUUGAAUCACUAGCCAGUUUAAAACAUUUCUUCUACUCUUGCCUUAAGAAAUUGUAUUGUACCAGCAUUAGGUAGUUAACUCCACUUGCAUUGACCUCUACUACCGUGUAGCGGGAAAGUUCAUUAUUUGAUCCCUCGAGAAAUAUUGUAUAGUAGUUCACAUUUCAAUGCCAGGAAACCAUAGCUUUGCAUGGUGCAUGGGAGUGUCUUCCAUUUAUAUUACAUGAAGUGUGAAGUGUAUUGUAAGUUUGUACAGAGAGGACUCCCAUGGUGGCAAUGAAUGUAUGGCAAUGAUCUGAUGAUAUGGCUCUACUGCUCUGAUGGACCAAUGCAGGAGAAGUUAUUCUGUAUAAUUAUUACACUAAAUUAAUGUAUGCCACUGUUUGGAUCGGUUUCUGUUCUGCUCAGCUUCUUCCUCCAACUUGCUUACGCAGGCUAAGCUUAUUCUUAAUUAGUUCAUUCUUAGUUCAUUCUAUAGUCUAGUAUUAUUGUCGGUUUGGUUGUUUUAUGUUUUUCACCUGGUCAUACGGAAUCACUUCAUUAAUUUUUAUACAGUGCAGACCACACCUCUAUCCACACAUUGUACCUGCACAUCCUGUAUAUAUGGGGCCACACCCCCACCUCUAUCCACACAUUGUACCUGCACAUCCUGUAUAUAUGGGGCCACACCCCCACUCACUGUACUGAUAUGUGGUCACACCCCCAUACAUGGUAACCCUCUUGACCACACCCCAACCCAUGCAUUGUGUCGUACAUGCUGUGUUUUUGUGUGUACUAGUGCACACAUCAUCCGUGUCUUUAUCCCCACACCUAGUCGGAGGGAGCAGCAAGUUCUACUAAGAGCCAGCAUCACCAACUAACCAACACACUACAAGACCUACCUACUACCAGCUAGGACAGCACACCACCCGGGACAGACUCUACUAUACCAUGUAAUACGCCUUUGUGUUACGAUCAUGAUACAAUUUGCUGCCCUCCCUCGCCCAUGGAUUGAAUAAUUAUGGACACUCGCAGUACAACUAAGAGACUGACACACAAUAAUAGACACCUAACUGUAUUUUUGCCAUUAUUAUAAUAAAAAUAAUGUAUUAAUUUUUUGCCAUUAA